GGGGCCAUAGCUCAGCUGGGAGAGCGCUUGCAUGGCAUGCAAGAGGUCGCGGGUUCGAUCCCCACUGGCUCCA
This 73-nucleotide transfer RNA is filed under the name Planctomycetota bacterium. RNAcentral's name for it is "tRNA-Ala". It matches the Rfam family "tRNA". Rfam says of the family: Transfer RNA (tRNA) molecules are approximately 80 nucleotides in length. Their secondary structure includes four short double-helical elements and three loops (D, anti-codon, and T loops). Further hydrogen bonds mediate the characteristic L-shaped molecular structure. tRNAs have two regions of fundamental functional importance: the anti-codon, which is responsible for specific mRNA codon recognition, and the 3' end, to which the tRNAs corresponding amino acid is attached (by aminoacyl-tRNA synthetases). tRNAs cope with the degeneracy of the genetic code in two manners: having more than one tRNA (with a specific anti-codon) for a particular amino acid; and 'wobble' base-pairing, i.e. permitting non-standard base-pairing at the 3rd anti-codon position. Lineage: Bacteria; Pseudomonadati; Planctomycetota. The record is from RNAcentral. RNAcentral also lists the same sequence under 1 other name.